UAGGGAAUUGUUCGCAAUGGGCGCAAGCCUGACGACGCAACGCCGCGUGGAGGAUGAAGACUUUCGGGUCGUAAACUCCUUUCGACAGAGAUGAACACCUCUCGACCUAAUACGUUGAGGGGCUGACAGUAUCUAGGGAAGAAGCCCCGGCUAACUCCGUGCCAGCAGCCGCGGUAAUACGGGGGGGGCAAGCGUUGUUCGGAAUUACUGGGCGUAAAGGGUUCGUAGGUGGCCAACUAAGUCAGACGUGAAAUCCCUCAGCUUAACUGGGGAACUGCGUCUGAUACUGGUCGGCUUGAGUGCAGGAGAGGAACGCGGAAUUCCAGGUGUAGCGGUGAAAUGCGUAGAUAUCUGGAGGAACACCGGUGGCGAAGGCGGCGUUCUGGACUGCAACUGACACUGAGGAACGAAAGCCAGGGGAGCAAACGGGAUUAGAUACCCCCGUAGUCC
RNAcentral lists this ribosomal RNA (450 nucleotides) under uncultured bacterium. RNAcentral describes it as "bacterial SSU rRNA". It matches the Rfam family "Bacterial small subunit ribosomal RNA", at positions 355 to 796 of the family's 1533-position model. The record is from RNAcentral.